GAUUUCUUCAAAUGACAGGACAAGGCAGAAAGAGUGAGAAAGGCCGUCUUCUCAGGUACGUCACUGCCAUUGGCCGGACUACUGAUUCUUCGUCUGAUUCCUGCAUGGCCUGGCCUGUCUCCGUAUUGCGUUGCUUUAUGGAUGCCCCAUCUCCUGAAGACUGCUUCAGAACCAUCAUCUCCAUUAGGUGGGCAAAAUGAGACAAUGGUCUGACAACCUGUAUCCUCCCAAGACUCUCUAUCUUCAAUAAUUUUAACAAAUG
This 262-nucleotide long non-coding RNA is filed under the name Felis catus (domestic cat). Its description in RNAcentral is "lncRNA (ENSFCAG00000045549.2)". Lineage: Eukaryota; Metazoa; Chordata; Mammalia; Carnivora; Felidae. The record is from RNAcentral.